CAUAAUUCUACUUUGAACUAUAGGUGCAUGAAUAUUAAAAAUUAGAUAUUCAAAAAAUGAUAUUCAUGUUGAAUAAUUUAUUUUUAAACCAUAUACAAAAACUGACCCAAAAUUUUGAAGUCCUUGUCCAUGAAAGAUGAUCAUCAAAGUGUGGUAGAAGUGAUUUUUAAUUCUAUAAAAUUCAAACGAAAUCAGAAAAUUACGAAACUUGUUGAGGUGUCAUGUUAUCACAUGAGGAGCCUACGAUAAAAAUUUGAAAAAAAUUGGAGCAAAUUGUGACGUC
Molecule: long non-coding RNA, 283 nt
Filed under: Sorghum bicolor (sorghum)
Lineage: Eukaryota; Viridiplantae; Streptophyta; Magnoliopsida; Poales; Poaceae
Description: long non-coding RNA (SBIC_LNC007037)
Source: RNAcentral